UACGUAGGGGGCGAGCGUUGUCCGGAAUUAUUGGGCGUAAAGAGCGUGUAGGCGGUUCGGUAAGUCUGCCGUGAAAACCUGGGGCUCAACCCCGGGCGUGCGGUGGAUACUGCCGGGCUAGAGGGUGGUAGAGGCGAGUGGAAUUCCCGGUGUAGCGGUGAAAUGCGCAGAUAUCGGGAGGAACACCAGUAGCGAAGGCGGCUCGCUGGGCCAU
This 214-nucleotide ribosomal RNA is filed under the name uncultured bacterium. RNAcentral's name for it is "partial 16S ribosomal RNA". It matches the Rfam family "Bacterial small subunit ribosomal RNA", at positions 524 to 737 of the family's 1533-position model. The record is from RNAcentral.